AACGCAGACGUGGCCGACGCGGGAGAAAGUGUAUUAUCUGUUCUUAUCAGUUUAGUAUCUGAUACGGGUUGCAUUUGGACCCAAGGUAUUACACUUAUUUUUGCAAUUUGGCGGAAGGCUUGAAGCCUGCUUCACCUCCGUCGUGGAUCGCCCCGGUAUUGCACUAUCUUUGGGAUUGACCCACAGUUU
Molecule: small nuclear RNA, 189 nt
Organism: Dermacentor silvarum
Lineage: Eukaryota; Metazoa; Arthropoda; Arachnida; Ixodida; Ixodidae
Product: U2 spliceosomal RNA
Exons: 1
Source: RefSeq, a predicted model, not a curated record